This 329-nucleotide ribosomal RNA is filed under the name uncultured eukaryote. Its description in RNAcentral is "partial 18S ribosomal RNA". It matches the Rfam family "Eukaryotic small subunit ribosomal RNA", at positions 1470 to 1796 of the family's 1831-position model. The record is from RNAcentral.
CCCUUAGAUGUUCUGGGCCGCACGCGCGCUACACUGAUGCAUUCAACGAGUCUACAACCUGGUCUGAUAGGGCUGGGUAAUCUUUUGAAUGUGCAUCGUGAUUGGGAUAGAUGAUUGCAAUUUUUCAUCUUCAACGAGGAAUGCCUAGUAAACGCAAGUCAUCAGCUUGCAUUGAUUACGUCCCUGCCCUUUGUACACACCGCCCGUCGCUCCUACCGAUUGAAUGAUCCGAUGAAUAUCAUGGAUUGAGGAUGCAAGCAGGUUCGCCUGUCUUCAUCUUCGAGAAGUGAAGUAAAUCUUAUCAUUUAGAGGAAGGAGAAGUCGUAACA